UACGUAGGGGGCAAGCGUUGUCCGGAUUUAUUGGGCGUAAAGAGCGUGUAGGCGGCCAGGUAGGUCUGCUGUGAAAACUCGAGGCUUAACCUCGAGCUGUCGGCGGAAACCAUCUGGCUAGAGUCCGGAAGAGGAGAAUGGAAUUCCCGGUGUAGCGGUGAAAUGCGCAGAUAUCAGGAAGAACACCUAUGGCGAAGGCAGCACUCUGGGACGGUACUGACGCUGAGACGCGAAAGCGUGGGGAGCGAACAGG
RNAcentral lists this ribosomal RNA (253 nucleotides) under uncultured bacterium. RNAcentral describes it as "partial 16S ribosomal RNA". It matches the Rfam family "Bacterial small subunit ribosomal RNA", at positions 524 to 776 of the family's 1533-position model. The record is from RNAcentral.